This 391-nucleotide unclassified non-coding RNA is filed under the name soil metagenome. Its description in RNAcentral is "partial contains 5.8S ribosomal RNA, internal transcribed spacer 2, and large subunit ribosomal RNA". The stretch from base 1 to 122 matches the Rfam family "5.8S ribosomal RNA", at positions 35 to 154 of the family's 154-position model. The record is from RNAcentral.
GAUGAAGAACGUAGCGAAAUGCGAUACUUGGUGUGAAUUGCAGAAUCCCGUGAACCAUCGAGUCUUUGAACGCAAGUUGCGCCCGAAGCCAUUAGGCCGAGGGCACGCCUGCCUGGGCGUCACACGUCGUUGCCCCCCCAUCUACUCCUUCGGGAUUGCGAGGGGCGGAUGAUGGCCUCCCGUGCGCCUCGUCGCGCGGUUGGCAUAAAUGCCAAGUCCUCGGCGACGCACGCCACGACAAUCGGUGGUUGCGAAACCUCGGUUGCCCGUCGUGUGCGGUCGUUGCGCAUCGAGGGCUCGAAAAAAUUGCCGGGCUCCGGCUCGGCUUUCAACGCGACCCCAGGUCAGGCGGGGUUACCCGCUGAAUUUAAGCAUAUCAAUAAGCGGAGGA